This 1559-nucleotide ribosomal RNA is filed under the name metagenome. Its description in RNAcentral is "bacterial LSU rRNA". It matches the Rfam family "Bacterial large subunit ribosomal RNA", at positions 1296 to 2881 of the family's 2925-position model. The record is from RNAcentral.
GCCGGUAUGAGUAGCGAGAGGCAUGCGAGAAACAUGCCCGUCGAAAGCCCAAGGUUUCCUGGGGAAGGUUCAUCCGCCCAGGGUAAGUCGGGGCCUAAGCCGAGGACGGAAGUCGUAGGCGAUGGACAGCAGGUGUAGAUUCCUGCACUACCGAUGGAAUGAAGCAGUGACACAGAAGGAUAACUCGAGCAGGGUGAUGGUCAACCCUGUGCAAGCAUUGAGGUUGGGUUGUAGUGAAGUACGCAAUCCUAUAAGCUGAGAUGUGAUGCGGACCGAAAUUUCAGUGGGGAAGCGAGUGAGUUCACGCUGGCGAGAAAAGCUGCUAGUACAUCCAAAGGUACCCGUACCGGAAACCGACGCAGGUGGGCGAGGAGAGAAUCCUGAGACGAACGGGAGAACCCUUGUUAAGGAACUCGGCAAAAUGACCCCGUAACUUCGGGAUAAGGGGUGCCUGCGAGAGCAGGCCGCAGAGAAUAGUCACAAGCGACUGUUUAGCAAAAACACAGGUAUCUGCGAAAGCGAGAGCUGACGUAUAGGUGCUGACACCUGCCCGGUGCUGGAAGGUUAAGGGAACAUGUUAGAGCAAUCGAAGCAUCGAACCGAAGCCCCAGUAAACGGCGGCCGUAACGAUAACGGUCCUAAGGUAGCGAAAUUCCUUGUCGGGUAAGUUCCGACCCGCACGAAUGGUGUAACGACUUGUGAGCUGUCUCAACAGGGGGCCCGGUGAAAUUGAAGUAUGGGUGAAGAUGCCCAUUACCCGCGACCGGACGGAAAGACCCCGUAGAGCUUUACUGCAGCCUGAUAUUGAGUUUCGGUAACUGAUGCACAGGAUAGGUGGGAGUCUGAGAGACAUGGGUUUCGGCUCAUGUGGAGACGGUGUUGGGAUACCACUCUUCGAUUACUGAAAUUCUAACAUAGCUCUGUGAAACCAGAGGAUGGACAGUGUCAGGUGGACAGUUUGACUGGGGCGGUCGCCUCCGAAAGAGUAACGGAGGCGCCCAAAGGUACCCUCAGAAUGGAUGGAAACCAUUCGAAGAGCGCAAAGGCAGAAGGGUGCCUGACUGCGAGAUUGACAAAUCGAGCAGAGACGAAAGUCGGGCUUAGUGAUCCGGCGGUAUUGAGUGGAAAAGCCGUCGCUUAACGGAUAAAAGCUACCUCGGGGAUAACAGGCUGAUCUCCCCCAAGAGUCCACAUCGACGGGGAGGUUUGGCACCUCGAUGUCGGCUCGUCGCAUCCUGGGGCUGAAGCAGGUCCCAAGGGUUUGGCUGCUCGCCAAUUAAAGCGGCACGCGAGCUGGGUUCAGAACGUCGUGAGACAGUUCGGUCCCUAUCCAUCGUGGGCGUAGGAGUCAUGAGAGGAGCUGUUCCUAGUACGAGAGGACCGGAAUGGACGCACCACUGGUGCAACUGUUAUCGUGCCAACGGCAUAGCAGGGAAGCGAAGUGCGGAUGGGAUAAACGCUGAAGGCAUCUAAGCGUGAAGCCCACCUCAAGAAUAAGACUCCACAAUAGACCCCUGGAGGACUACCAGGUAGAUAGGUCAUCGGUGGAAGCGCUGUAA